RNAcentral lists this ribosomal RNA (733 nucleotides) under Pseudomonas aeruginosa. Its description in RNAcentral is "bacterial SSU rRNA". It matches the Rfam family "Bacterial small subunit ribosomal RNA", at positions 56 to 783 of the family's 1533-position model. Lineage: Bacteria; Pseudomonadati; Pseudomonadota; Gammaproteobacteria; Pseudomonadales; Pseudomonadaceae. The record is from RNAcentral.
UGCAGUCGAGCGGAUGAAGGGAGCUUGCUCCUGGAUUCGCGGCGGACGGGUGAGUAAUGCCUAUGAGUCUGCCUGGUAGUGGGGGAUAACGUCCGGAAACGGGCGCUAAUACCGCAUACGUCCUGAGGGAGAAAGUGGGGGAUCUUCGGACCUCCCGCUAUCCGAUGAACCUAGGUCGGAUUAACUAGUUGGUGGGGUAACGGCCUACCCAGGCGACGAUCCAUCCCUGGUCUGAGAGGAUGAUCAAUCACACUGGAACUGAGACACAGUCCAGACUCCUACGGGAGGCAGCAGUGGGGAAUAUUGGACAAUGGGCGAAAGCCUGAUCCAGCCAUGCCGCGUGUGUGAAGAAGGUCUUCGGAUUGUAAAGCACUUUAAGUUGGGAGGAAGGGCAGUAAGUUAAUACCUUGCUGUUUUGACGUUACCAACACAAUAAGCACCGGCUAACUUCGUGCCAGCAGCCGCGGUAAUACGAAGGGUGCAAGCGUUAAUCGGAAUUACUGGGCGUAAAGCGCGCGUAGGUGGUUCAGCAAGUUGGAUGUGAAAUCCCCGGGCUCAACCUGGGAACUGCAUCCAAAACUACUGAGCUAGAGUACGGUAGAGGGUGGUGGAAUUUCCUGUGUAGCGGUGAAAUGCGUAGAUAUAGAUAAGGAACACCAGUGGCGAAGGCGACCACCUGGACUGAUACUGACCGCUGAUGUGCUAAAGCGUGGGUGAGCAGACAGGAUUAUAU